UACGGAGGGGGCUAGCGUUGUUCGGAAUUACUGGGCGUAAAGGGCGCGUAGGCGGUAAAGUAAGUUAGACGUGAAAGCCCUAGGCUUAACCUAGGAUGUGCGUUUAAGACUACAUUACUUGAGUACGAGAGAGGAAAGUGGAAUUCCUAGUGUAGAGGUGAAAUUCGUAGAUAUUAGGAAGAACACCGGUGGCGAAGGCGGCUUUCUGGCUCGUAACUGACGCUGAGGCGCGAAAGCGUGGGGAGCAAAUAGG
Molecule: ribosomal RNA, 253 nt
Filed under: uncultured bacterium
Lineage: Bacteria
Description: partial 16S ribosomal RNA
Rfam family: Bacterial small subunit ribosomal RNA
Source: RNAcentral